UUCGACAAUACCUGGCAGGUUCUUCAGGGAUCUCACUGGAGCUAUGAUCCUGUGAUGGUUCCUUCUCUUUGGGUGUCCACCGCCCGCGACGAUACACGUCGGGCGCUAUGGUUCUAGCUAUAUUAAUGAUGCUUUAUGUAUGAUAGUAUUCGAGGAGUAUUAAUUAGUGAUAAUAUUCGACGAUGUAUGGACACAAGAGAUCGAUGAUGUAGUCUUGCUUAUAAU
Molecule: long non-coding RNA, 225 nt
Filed under: Hordeum vulgare
Lineage: Eukaryota; Viridiplantae; Streptophyta; Magnoliopsida; Poales; Poaceae
Description: long non-coding RNA (HVUL_LNC009393)
Source: RNAcentral